AGUGAACGCUGGCGGUAGGCCUAACACAUGCAAGUCGAACGGCAGCACAGUAAGAGCUUGCUCUUACGGGUGGCGAGUGGCGGACGGGUGAGGAAUACAUCGGAAUCUACUUUUUCGUGGGGGAUAACGUAGGGAAACUUACGCUAAUACCGCAUACGACCUACGGGUGGAAGCAGGGGAUCUUCGGACCUUGCGCGAUUGAAUGAGCCGAUGUCGGAUUAGCUAGUUGGCGGGGUAAAGGCCCACCAAGGCGACGAUCCGUAGCUGGUCUGAGAGGAUGAUCAGCCACACUGGAACUGAGACACGGUCCAGACUCCUACGGGAGGCAGCAGUGGGGAAUAUUGGACAAUGGGCGCAAGCCUGAUCCAGCCAUACCGCGUGGGUGAAGAAGGCCUUCGGGUUGUAAAGCCCUUUUGUUGGGAAUGAAAAGCAGCAGGUUAAUACCCCGCUGUUCUGACGGUACCCAAAGAAUAAGCACCGGCUAACUUCGUG
This 492-nucleotide ribosomal RNA is filed under the name uncultured bacterium. Its description in RNAcentral is "partial 16S ribosomal RNA". It matches the Rfam family "Bacterial small subunit ribosomal RNA", at positions 29 to 507 of the family's 1533-position model. The record is from RNAcentral.